Long non-coding RNA from Polypterus senegalus (gray bichir), 695 nucleotides. RefSeq lists it as uncharacterized. The record is from RefSeq and is a predicted model, not a curated record. Lineage: Eukaryota; Metazoa; Chordata; Cladistia; Polypteriformes; Polypteridae. The transcript has 3 exons.
UGUUCAGCUUGGCUUAUUCUGUAGUGACUUUACUAAACAUUCAGAUUUUCUUUAUUGUUAUUUUGGGUUUGAUGACAAUUUUAACUUUUUUCAUUAUGAUCACAGCAUGAAAACAAUGAGUCAGGCCUUCAAAGGUAACAACCAACACUUUGGAACUUGUCGGUAUAACUGAGCCCAGAAGUAGGCAUCAGGAUUAUCUAUGUACUGUGUUCAACUGCUCGGGUCAAAGGUAUGCAAGAUAUUCCUUGACUCCCAUAAACCUGCUGCGGCCCACCCAGCAACGCCUCAACACCUGCAAGAAUGAGAGGCAUUCCUCUUAAAUUAUCACACCUAAUCUAUAGUGGGUCUUUUGUCUUCUAUUGACACAACAUCAUGUUACAUUGUACAUAAUUUGUUGUUUUAUAGUUCACCCCAAAGUUCAAACAAACAUGAGGUAGCAUACAGUAUAUAGAACCUAGCAGUCCUCUUUUCCUUGCUCUUAUAAAAUUUCACACGGCAUCGCAACAGGCUCUGUAUAACACAAAAAGUAAAUAGUAAUCAUUGCAAGUGAAAGUACUGUGGUUUUGUCAGAGGUUUUAAACUUGAAAGCAGUAUGUAAAGUUUAACUUGUGUUUUCUUUUUUACUGUAAUUACACUUGGGAGAUUUCAGUUUGUAACUUUUUCCAUGUACAAUAGAUGAUCAAGGUGAGAAAUUU